RNAcentral lists this ribosomal RNA (991 nucleotides) under Bacillus subtilis. RNAcentral's name for it is "bacterial SSU rRNA". It matches the Rfam family "Bacterial small subunit ribosomal RNA", at positions 543 to 1533 of the family's 1533-position model. Lineage: Bacteria; Bacillati; Bacillota; Bacilli; Caryophanales; Bacillaceae. The record is from RNAcentral.
CCGGGGAAAUAUUUGGCGCGUAAAGGGCUCGCAGGCGGUUUCUUAAGUCUGAUGUGAAAGCCCCCGGCUCAACCGGGGAGGGUCAUUGGAAACUGGGGAACUUGAGUGCAGAAGAGGAGAGUGGAAUUCCACGUGUAGCGGUGAAAUGCGUAGAGAUGUGGAGGAACACCAGUGGCGAAGGCGACUCUCUGGUCUGUAACUGACGCUGAGGAGCGAAAGCGUGGGGAGCGAACAGGAUUAGAUACCCUGGUAGUCCACGCCGUAAACGAUGAGUGCUAAGUGUUAGGGGGUUUCCGCCCCUUAGUGCUGCAGCUAACGCAUUAAGCACUCCGCCUGGGGAGUACGGUCGCAAGACUGAAACUCAAAGGAAUUGACGGGGGCCCGCACAAGCGGUGGAGCAUGUGGUUUAAUUCGAAGCAACGCGAAGAACCUUACCAGGUCUUGACAUCCUCUGACAAUCCUAGAGAUAGGACUUCCCCUUCGGGGGCAGAGUGACAGGUGGUGCAUGGUUGUCGUCAGCUCGUGUCGUGAGAUGUUGGGUUAAGUCCCGCAACGAGCGCAACCCUUGAUCUUAGUUGCCAGCAUUCAGUUGGGCACUCUAAGGUGACUGCCGGUGACAAACCGGAGGAAGGUGGGGAUGACGUCAAAUCAUCAUGCCCCUUAUGACCUGGGCUACACACGUGCUACAAUGGACAGAACAAAGGGCAGCGAAACCGCGAGGUUAAGCCAAUCCCACAAAUCUGUUCUCAGUUCGGAUCGCAGUCUGCAACUCGACUGCGUGAAGCUGGAAUCGCUAGUAAUCGCGGAUCACAUGCGCGGGGGGGAAAAACCUUUCCCGGGGCCUUGUACACACCGCCCGUCACACCACGAGAGUUUGUAACACCCGAAGUCGGUGAGGUAACCUUUUAGGAGCCAGCCGCCGAAGGUGGGACAGAUGAUUGGGUGAUCAAAAAGAAACCCCCCCCCAAAAAAAAAAAAAGGAGGGGGGGAC